GGGAACAUACCCUUUUCUACGGAAUAGCUCUGGGAAACUGGAAUUAAUACCGUAUACGCCCAACGGGGGAAAGAUUUAUCGGGGAAGGAUUGGCCCGCGUUGGAUUAGCUAGUUGGUGGGGUAAAGGCCUACCAAGGCGACGAUCCAUAGCUGGUCUGAGAGGAUGAUCAGCCACAUUGGGACUGAGACACGGCCCAAACUCCUACGGGAGGCAGCAGUGGGGAAUAUUGGACAAUGGGCGCAAGCCUGAUCCAGCCAUGCCGCGUGAGUGAUGAAGGCCUUAGGGUUGUAAAGCUCUUUCACCGAUGAAGAUAAUGACGGUAGUCGGAGAAGAAGCCCCGGCUAACUUCGUGCCAGCAGCCGCGGUAAUACGAAGGGGGCUAGCGUUGUUCGGAAUUACUGGGCGUAAAGCGCACGUAGGCGGAUAUUUAAGUCAGGGGUGAAAUCCCAGAGCUCAACUCUGGAACUGCCUUUGAUACUGGGUAUCUUGAGUAUGGAAGAGGUAAGUGGAAUUGCGAGU
RNAcentral lists this ribosomal RNA (520 nucleotides) under uncultured bacterium. RNAcentral describes it as "bacterial SSU rRNA". It matches the Rfam family "Bacterial small subunit ribosomal RNA", at positions 120 to 674 of the family's 1533-position model. The record is from RNAcentral.